This 253-nucleotide ribosomal RNA is filed under the name uncultured bacterium. RNAcentral's name for it is "partial 16S ribosomal RNA". It matches the Rfam family "Bacterial small subunit ribosomal RNA", at positions 524 to 776 of the family's 1533-position model. The record is from RNAcentral.
UACGUAGGGUCCGAGCGUUGUCCGGAAUUAUUGGGCGUAAAGAGCUCGUAGGCGGUUUGUCGCGUCUGCUGUGAAAUCCCGAGGCUCAACCUCGGGCCUGCGGUCGAUACGGGCAGGCUAGAGUUCGGUAGGGGGGACUGGAAUUCCUGGUGUAGCGGUGAAAUGCGCAGAUAUCAGGAGGAACACCGGUGGCGAAGGCGGGUCUCUGGGCCGUAACUGACGCUGAGGAGCGAAAGCGUGGGGAGCGAACAGG